UGUUGUACACUUGUACUCGUAAAACCUACUUUUAUACUCUCUUUUAAAAAAAUAUAAAUCAUAAAUCUCAUAAAAAGAGCUAUGAUUGAAAGAUGUGCUUUUAAUACGAGACCCCAGUCCCGGCCAUACAUAUAUACAGAGGAUAGCAUUAGCAUAAACCUAACUGGAUAUUUCGUAAUUCAACCCUAAAAAUUCUUCCAACAAAUUUCAAUGCUCAAAAUCAUAAUAUAAGUGGUUAACGAAUCGGAUUUAACCUGAGUUCUAAAUGCAUGUGUUUCUUAUCUAUCAAUAUUUAAAACUCUUGUUUAUCAAAGGGAGAAAUCGAUCGCGUGAAAUCCACUCGCGGCGAUUUCUCUCUCAAAUCUCUCCUUCUUCUGAGCAGAAUCUCUUGCUCCGUUGGUAGGAUCCUCCGUCGAUUCCGGCGAUGUUGAGGAUUUCGUGGCUCAUGGUUCUUCAUCCUUGAUCUGCUCCAUCUUUUUUUCUAAAACGAUCGAGCAAAACCAAGGGAGAAGUGGAGAGGAGAAGCUUCUGUGAGACACCAUUGAUUCCGGUGGUGUAGCAGCGCAGAGUGGAGGAGGAAGACUUCACGGCAAGAAAUGAGGAAGAAGACAGUUAGAUCUGGAGACUAGAGGUCCUGGAGGUUUUAUGAGGCCGCCGUUCGAUAGGGGAGGUCGGCUCCGGUCCGGUGAAGCUAAACCACUGUCAAUAGAUCCGAGAUCUACUCCCUACUGCCUUCAAUCUCACCAUCAAGCCUGAAGUCUUCUCGGUAUCGGAACAACUCGGGUUCUUCCUCCUCUUCGAAACUUCUCUACGGUGGCGGAGAGGCAAACUGAUCCUUGAUCACCUCCUCCGUUCGACUCGCGACGUCCAGGCACACCGGAGGACCUGUUCCGGCGUGGAUCUGCAGUUUUGGGCGGCGGCUGCGACGUGUUCUACGUCUGCAGAUUAGGGUUUUGCAGUGAUCGGUUAAUUUCCGGUUUUGCAAAAUCGAGUCGGUUUUGUAUUUCGUUUGGUUUAGUUAAAUUGGAUGUUUGUGGAUUGGGCCCUAAUGGGUUAUUGUAUGGGCCUAUAUCCGGAAAUAUGUAGCCCAUUGAACAUAAGUUUUUUAAAUUGAAAGCACUUUUACAAAAAAAAAAAAAUAUAUAUAUUUAAUAUCAGACACGUACGCAGCGAAUUAGCGAUCGACUAGUGUGUAUAUUGCACUGAACAUUGAUUAAGGCUACUUUUUUCCCCCAAGUUUAUUUCGAGAAAUAGAAAGUGGGAUCGUUUAUUCCCAUGAAUGUGGGGGAUCUCAAAGUUGCUAUUAUGUGGACAGAAACAACGAACGUGUCAUGCUUUGACGUGAGAGAUAUCAGAACGUAGCGUCACGAUAACUGUGAGAACGAGUGGGUCACUCUCCUAUAGUCCUGACUCCUAUAUAUGUUCAUAUUUACAGGAAUUACGUUUGAGUUUUUUUGCACUAGAUACUAGCUAAAUAUUAGCUGAUCAGUAUAUAUAUAUAAUAACCAAACCAAGAACAGAUUAAAGAGGAAACCCUCAAUUUUGACUUCCCUAUGAGAGAAAACUACGUACAGCUUCUUGCAUUAUCAAUUUUCAGACACAUAAACUGUAACCAUGGAUAUAUGAAUAUUUAUGUACGUAAAAUUGGAAGCAUUAAUUGCUCGGGCGUAUGGAGAAGAUGGGCUGUUUGGACCAAACAUAGUAAUACACAUUAUAUAUUUGAUUAUUCAAAACAAAAAAUAUAUUAAAUAGUAAUUCGUCGACCAUAGCUAGAAGAAAUCUAAAAUGGAAUAAAAUAGAAAGAAAAAAAAGAAAGAGUGAUAAACAAACCAAAAGAAAGAAAAAAAUGAAUGUCUAAUAGAGAGAGAUGGGGCAUAGAAGAGGGAAUCCAUGUGAAGGCAGAUGAUUCAGAUGGGCUCGCCAGCUUUCAUUUUAUCUUUUCUUUUUUUGGAAUCAUUUCUCUUAAAUUAUUUUAAUAAUAAGAUGAAUCAUAUAUUAGUCUUUAGUUCUGAUAUUUUCUUGCAAUAAUUUAUUUUUUCUAUAAAAAUAUCUUAACUUGUAGUUGUAGACAUCCUCCAACCUUUUUGUCCAAUAACAAAAAAAAAUUAUGAACUUCCUUAAUUAUAUUUUAACAUUUCCAGCUGAAUAAUGCCAUCAAACUUACUUAAUUUUUUAUGUAACUGAUGACAGUGAAUUCGUGUUUUUUUAAAAAAAUCUUAUAAUAGUAAAUCUCUUUUAGGUUUGAAUUUGUGAAAAUAUAUUAUUUAGCACACCUGACAUGUUUAAACGAGUCGAAUCUCAGAAUCUUUAAUCAUGCAUAUUAAAGUACUGUUAACUUAUUUAUACUACAGUGUAUGAUUUUUAAAAACAUCGGUAGCUCAAAAUUGAAAAACAAAUCUACACACUAUAGAAUUCUUAAAUCAUGGUGAGUAUAUGAUCACUAUAUGUACGAGAAGAUGAGACUGUUCACUUACUUAAUUAUUUGUGUUGGUUCAUAAAUUAAAUCAUAAUCAUUGGUAAACUUUCUUGUCACACUUGUAUAUAUGGUUUACAGAAUUACAUUACUAGUCGUUUUCUUUUUGUCUAUAUGAUUAAUUGAUGUUUAUAUAUUACAAUUAAUCUGGAAGGUAUGUCUUCCUUUUUUUUCUUUCUUUGCUUUUUUUUUUUCAGUUUCAAAGUCUUUUCGAUUGGUCCACUUACAUGUGAAAACCUGCACACUAACUAUAAUUAUCAAAUAUUAUUUCAUAACUACCAAACUUAUAUAAUUAAAGUAUAAUCAUUCAAAGUGGUACUUCCGUUAAACAAAACAUUUGAUCAUUAAUCAUUGAUCAUUUCAUUCAUGUUUUUUUCUUUCAAGUUUUCCAAACCGUUCGUCCGUUUUUUUACUUAUGUGUAAAUAGAGUUUACAAAUGUCCGUCCAACCGAAAUUUUACCACAUGAAAGUUUGGCCAUAUGUGCUUCGCCUUUUGAUCAAUGAUUAUAGGAUGAAAAUACAAUCAUUCUCAGGUGACUCAGAAAAUAUUACAACAGCAUUGUAACACAGAUCCUAUCCACAUUUUAUAAUUCUUUUUUUUUUUGUGAAAUUUUCCCCCAAAAAACCAAGAAAAAAAUUAAAAGAAAAUGAUCUCUCGAAACAUAAGAAUCCGGCUUCCGGACAAAAAAACACCAUUAGCUAGAAGCAGACAGGAAAAAAAAAAGAGGAAUUAAUUAAGAUCCUCAGAGAUACUGUCGAGGUGAGGCCGCCACGUGGAGACUGACGCCGAUCUGCUGUGCCGCCGGCGAUGACGGUGUUCUUUACCGUUGGACUCAGAAGACACAACUUCUUCCAAGUACUUGUCGCACAACUUCACACAUUCAUCGUCACCUUUAACGUCUCCGGAUUGGGUGGAAUCGACGACGUUAGGGUUGUUGAGAGACUUUCUACUACGGUGAGGAGCGUCCUUUCUCCGCCUUUUCUUCUCCGGCAAGGAAGAGUCCGGGAUAAGAAAAUAGAUGCUUCCUCGCUUGAGCUCAGAUUCAGGGGACAAGAUCAAGAUUUUGCGGACAACUCCUUGAGAACAUGGUUUGCUUAGGACAUGGUUGGGGUUCGCUUGGAGGAUCUCUCCGGCGGUUAUAGACCGUGUGAUCUCCUCAACGUAGCCGUUUAGAUGAACGAUCCUGAUCAAAUCUAGUGCUCCGCAUGGAAGAACACAAGCUAGACAACACCUUAUGCUGUUUCCCAUCUCUCUCUCUCUAUUUGUUUUUUGUGUAUUUAUUAUAUAUUGAACUGAUAGUUAAUCAAAUUUAUGGGGAAGAACAAGUUGGAGAAGGCGAGGUUAUAUAGGAGCCAACACUUUACAUAAACACCAAAGCGGGCUUGACCAUACGUCUACGGACCCUGAAAUGACUGAAUUGCCCUCUUGUCUUCUCGUUAUUAACUUGAAUCCACCCUCCUCCUAAAACAUUACUAUAUGUGUUAAAUAACUAAGUUAUCUCCAUAUAUACAUCAAAGUCAUUUCUAUUAUUUGGCUUUAUUCUGGAUUAUAAGAUAUUUUAGUAUACAUGUGAUGAUUUUUGUUUACUCUCUGCAGUUCGGUAAUGUAAGAUCUCUGAGCUGAAUCUCUGUGAGGGAGAUUAAUAUAGUAAAUAAUCAAAGCAACAAUUAGAAGGAAAAUGUCGAAAUUAGUCGAGUAGAGAGAUAUUCAGAGACGCUAUGUGACAAAUUUUGAUAAAACAAAACUCUUUUUAUUUUUGUAUUAUUACUCGAAUAAUACCAAAUCUUGAAACUAGGAGCGUGUUGGGAUGAGAUAAACUUACUCGUAAUUAUUUAAUGUGAAACAAUGACCAAAGACUUGGAAACUGAAAAAGGAUGAUCUAUUUUACCCGUUUAAAUUUAAAGCGUACUAUAGAUUACGGAUACUUGAGUAGGAUUUGGUAUCAAUGUUGGAAGUAACAAUCCAUUUAACUUUUUCUACUCAAUAUAAGUUUUUUUUUGUCUGUCGUUAAUAUUCCAUAUAACUACAUUUUUCUCGUUGCGUGUGCUCAAGCUAUAUCACUUUUGGAGUUGCAUAUAUAGGCUUAUGCAAGAUCUGUAAAAUUAUGGAAUCCUCCAGUAUUAUAAUCACUAGCUAAUCACCAAAAAUAGUGGUGCAGUCAACAUCCGCAUUUAUAUAGAAAGCUAUUUUAAUAACUAACUGCACUUUCUUUCGAUUUUAUUUUAAAUUUCAACAAUUAGUAUAUUUUUAACUAAUGUGGUCGCGCAUUUGAAUAACUGCAUGCCGUUAAUGUAUGAAUUAAAACACCCAUAUAUAUUACGUUACGGUUGUUCAAGGAUCAAAUACCCAAUUUUACUUAAAAUAUUAAUAUGUAAGCUUAAGCAUUGGUUCAACGAAGUUAAUUAACAUCAAAUAUGAAAAUAAAAUAAAUCCCCGUAAGUAAAACAGCUGUCUUCAAGGACAAAACAAUAGUAGUAUAAUGCAGACAAUGUUAUACGAAUGUAUUUCUCCUUUAAAAUAUAUAUUGCUGUACUACAUAUUAUUCGCUUAUAUAGAAAAAUAAAUUAGUUUACGUACGUUAUUAUUCAAAUGAGUUAAACCAUAUUAAUAGCACUGUCAAACGUAGGAACCAUUUAAGUAUGUUUAUUCAUACUACUAGUACUUAAAAUUAAAUUAUUGUGUUGCUUUUAAGACUUAUUGUUAAUGACGAUUCUCGCUCUAAUUAAAGUCAAUACCGUACGUACGUUAGUAUGUACUUAAACUUAACUAAGAAAAUAUACAACUUGCGGGGGGAUAUAUAGAUUACAUGCAGAUGCAGUUGAAGACCUGUUGGUCUCGGUGUUUAAUGACUAUUUACGCUUACUUGAUUAAGCAAGAGAAGGGGAUCAGGGGACAAGUAAUCCGCAGGACCACAUUAAUAGUUUAUAUACGUACUUUUAAACUUUUGAUGAUAAAAUUAAUUAUUUGAAUUUUUUUUCGUAAAUAGUAAGUGCACGUAACCCCAAACUGUAUAUAAAACUGGUUUCCAAUAAAAAAGAGGACCUCAGUCUAAUUUAAAUUCUAAGUUGAGGAUCUAUAAUGUAAAAUAAUUAAUUAGGUUCUCACAAUGCAUUCACGUUGCAAAUUAACUUCAUAACAUCUUCUCAGGAACACAAAACAAAACAAAGAUAUCAGAAACAUACUAAUAAGAAUGCUGAAAAACCAAAUGAUUAAUAAUGAUGAACAAAAGCAGCGCUAAGAGUACAGAUUAAUUAAAACAAGAAAAAUCUUGGUGGCAGAAAAUAAAUCUUUGAAACGAUUUAACGAUAUCGACAUGAACGAAGAAGCUUCGUCGUACGGAGGUUUCAGGCACCGACGACGUACGAUAGGCGCCCAAAAACAUAUUAAAUAUUGCGAGAUUAAUAAAGUUUCUUAAUUAAUGGAGUAUGUUUAAUGAGAGAGUGGCGAACUUUUAUAAUUAGAACACAGAUUAAUUAGGUUUUGCAAUUGGGUGUGUGUGCAUGCGGCACAAUGUGUUAUAAAUCUUUCUUAUGAAUCUUUUAAAAAAUGUUUAGUGGGAUCAUAAUUGAAGAACGUGAGGCAAACCUGUCUUGUUCCACAAUUUCACAACUCUUCCACGGUGGAUCUUCAACCACUUAAUCAAGUUUGCAAUAUUUAAAAAGGAUGAUAUGUUAAAUCAUUUUAAGAGCAUUAAUCUGUCCAAAUUAAUCAUAAAUAUUUUUGCUAGCUCCAUUUGCCUCUUAUUAACUAUACUAUCUUUAUACGUGGGGAAUAUGAAACAUGUUCCAUACGAACUGAUCAUGAGUAAUUGAGUACAUGCACAAUCUCCACAUUAGCCUUGAAUAGCUUGAACGUGAACUAAUAAGUGAUUAUUCAAACUCAUUUGGAAAUUUUGUAAAACAAAAGUGAGAUAUUCAAUUCUCGUCGUUCUAUGCGUUUAACUAUAACAACUAAUCAUAAUUCAAAUUGCGGUUAAAUGAUUUGAACCAUACUUCUUAUUACACACGUCCUUGCUGACCUUAUUACUAGAAAAAAAGAACUGAUACAUUAUUAAUAGAAAAGUAUAAUACUACUUAUAUAUACUUAUCCCCCCAACGCCGAGGAAGAUUUGAUUUUAGCCACUCUUUUUAUUUAUUUUUAUUCCAAAAACCAACGUAUAUUAAUUAUAUAAGAUUAUGGAAUGAAAUGGUGUUUAAGGGGGGACGUACCUGAUCGAAUAAAGACAAACCCAAUCAAAUAAUUUAAAGUUAUAAGCAUAGAUAGAUAUUGGAGAUAUCUCCAGCCUAGAACACACGUUUGUUUAGAUUUACCCUCGUGUGCAAUAUCUCUUUCUUUUUUUGUGUUUUUUUGGAGCGUAAAUAAUUAUCGUAAUCUUAAUUUGAUAUGAUCAUGCUGCACGAACUUCUAUUCCAAACUCGUUUCCGUGUUAGUUCAAUUUAGGAAAUCUACUUUUUUUUUAAGAGAUUCUACCAAAAUAUUAACAUUACAAAACCACAUCCCUAUAUUAGUAAAAAAAAAGUACAAAAAGUGAUUUCGGGUCGGGUCAAUUUCAAAAAAUUACCCAAAAUUUGUAAUUGGAUCUUUUAAAAUUGGAUAGAUUAAUGGGUUUGGAUACAUACACCGGAUACUUUCCAAAUCUAAUUUUAGAAUUGUAUUAUUUCCAUAACUAAUUAUAUGAUUUACUAAUAUUUCUCUAACUAAUUUAAUACAAUCUAUUUAAAAAAUAUUAUUCUUCUUUCACUUUUAUUUGAUAUUAUUUUUAAUUUAUGAUAUUAUACUAUAUAAUAUAAAUAUUUAAUAAAAAUUUAACUUUUUUUUGCAUAUGUUGCAAUUUGAAUUUUUCAAAACGGACAUAUAAUACUCAACUACACUCGGUUAAAUAUUUUGGACAAUGGUUUAAAAUCAUUAUAAGUAUGACCAAUAUUAAAACCAUUGUUACAUGAGCAUAUUUAAAAUUUCAAAUAGUUUCAAAAUAUUAUAAAUAUAAUUUUCAAAUAUAUAAAACAUUUAGAAUUUAAAAUAUUGAAAAUGUUUUUUUGACGACAUAAAUGUAAUUUUGGAGACAUAAUUUUUAUUGAUAAAAUAUAUUAUAUAUCAAAAUACGUAAAUUUUAGAUAAUUCACGGGUAGUUUGUUAAAAUCACAAUUAUAAUGAUAAAGCGAGUUACGAAUAAUGUUUUUUACGAAAUGAAUUCUGUUACGAGUUGGAAUUUCAAAAAACAAUAUUGUAAAUAUGUAAAUUUUACGUAUAUUCCUACUUUUACUACAAAAAUAGUCAAAAUGAAUAAUUUAUCGACAAAUAUUAUUUCGUGCUGUUAAAUUUUCACCGUGUUUUUAAUUGUAUCAAAACUCAGUAUAUGAUUAUUUACUCGCUUUUUCUUUUAUUAUUUGAUUUAAACAUAUUAUAAAAAUAUAUGAUUUACCGUAAUCGACUGCAUUCUAACAAAAUUAAAAUGUAACAUAUUCUAAUCCGUUAAAAGUUAUAUAUAUGUAAUUAUUUCCUCCGCGUUGUAGCGCGGAUCCGAACCUAGUUAAAUAUACAAAAUAUAUACAGUAUUGGUUUUGCAUGAUCUCGUUAAUUUCGUUGUACGUGUAUUUUAACGUUGCAGAGGAUAUGUACAGACAAUCUUUUGGCUGUAAGGCUUAUUAUUGACCGUUUGUCAACUCUCAGAUUUGCAAACAAAAAAAUAAAUUAUAAUAAUUCAGGCGUCAGCAAUUUAACUAUAAAGUUCAAAAGUCAUAUGGGCUCUAAGUGAAGCCCGUUUUAUCGGCCCAUGUAAAAUCGUUGUCAGGAGUUUCUGACCAAAAAGUCAAUAAUUCAACGGCAUAUUAAUAUGACACAUAAAAAUAGUAGAGACUCUAUAAUCAGAAGGUAUAUAAAAGGGUAGAAAAAUGAAAGAGAGAAGAAGAGACAAGAUGUUGAUCCAUGUAAUAAUUAUAUUCAUGGUCAUAACUACAAUCCUAAUAUCGACGACAUGCCAUACAAAUGUAGCCAACAUUAACGUAUCAAUGUUCCCGGCGAUCCUUGUGUUCGGCGAUUCAACAAUCGACACCGGCAACAACAACUACAUCAAAACCAUCAUACGGGCUAAUUUCCCUCCUUACGGUUGCAAUUUUCCCGGCCAUAACGCUACCGGAAGAUUCUCCAACGGUAAACUCAUCCCUGACUUCAUAGCAUCUCUUAUGGGAAUCAAAGACACCGUUCCUCCUUUCCUCGACCCGCAUUUGUCAGAUUCCGAUAUCCUCACCGGAGUGUGCUUUGCUUCGGCCGGUUCCGGUUACGACAACCUCACAGAUCGAGCAACUUCGACCCUAUCAGUCUCUAAACAGGCGGAUAUGCUCAGAAGCUACGUGGCAAGGCUGAGUCAGAUCGUCGGAGAAGAGAAAGCGGCCAGUAUAGUCAGCGAGGCUCUGGUGAUUGUAAGCUCAGGAACUAACGAUUUCAACCUAAAUCUCUACGACACUCCUUCUCCUCGCCAAAAGCUCGGCGUUGAUGGAUAUCAAAGUUUCAUUCUCUCGAGUGUACACAACUUCGUUCAAGUAAAUAACAAUUUCUAUCAUAUUUUUGAACUCUUUUGCUUAUGUGUAAGAAUUUUGAUUCAAUAAUAUUUGUUUUUUUUCUUUUGUUAUGUUGGAUGUAUGAUAUAGGAACUAUAUGAUAUUGGGUGCCGAAGAAUAAUGGUGUUGGGACUACCGCCGGUAGGGUGUUUACCGAUUCAGAUGACGAUGGCUAUGCAAAAACAGAACGAGAGAAAAUGCAUUGACAAACAAAACUCGGAUUCACAGGAGUUUAACCAGAAGCUUAACAAGUCCCUAACAGAUAUUCAAUCCAAUCUCACCGGCAGUGUCAUCUUUUACGGCGAUAUCUACGGAACAUUGUUUGACAUGGCUACUAAUCCCCAAAGAUACGGUAACGCUACGUUUCCCUUUCAUCCCCAUGCACAUUACGUUUCGCACUAAAUCUACAAAUUUGUAUUUUGACAGCCUUUCUAAAUUAUAUUAUUGUUAUAUAAAUAUGAGGUUGUUAUAUGGGAUUAAUAGAUUACGAAAAAAGUUAGAUAAAUGCAAAACAAGAAAAAAAACAAUCAAACUCAAACCAUAGUCCAUUGUUUCAUCCAAUGUCACGCAUGCCCCACUUAAUAUUUUACAGGUUUUGAAAAUAUAAUUGUUUACCAAAGGAAAAAAAAUAAUGAAAGUCGAAUAGAAGAAAAUGGAAUUAAUAUUGCGUAUUGUUACAAAGUAGUAAAGUGACUGAUGAUAUAAAGGGACAGGAAUAAAGGAAACGACGAGAGGAUGCUGCGGGACAGGAGAGAUGGAGUUAUCAUACUUGUGCAAUGCUUUAACUCGGACUUGUCGUGACCCUAACCAGUUCCUCUUCUGGGACGACAUUCAUCCUUCCCAAGCUGCUUACAUAGUCGUCAGCCUCAGUCUUGUUGAACAAAUUCUCCACGUACUCUCUUGAUUUUCAUUGUUUUUUUUGCCUUUCAUAUGUUAAUUUGUGGAGUAAUUAAGGAGGUUAAUCAAUCUAUAUAUAUUCCCUUCUUACAUGUGCUAUUUUAUACUACGUAGUGUGUACCAAUACUUGCAACUCUAUCGGUAAAGCACAAUGCAUGUGAGUAGCUUCGUUUGGAGUUUUUUUACAUGAAAAGAGCAAAUCAAACACUUACACAAAAAAGACCUACGUAUAAUCGAAUUUGCUGACGCCCAAUCCAUUAUUUACCCAAGGGAGAAAAAAAAAAAAACAGAAUGAUUCACAAUUUGACAGAUUUGUCAACUAAUAAUCAUUUCCUUUUCAUAUUUAAUUUAAUCAACUUGAGGUUUCCUUGAACAACCCUUUAAUUCUCACCUCCAAAUCUUCGACAGUAUAAGCAAUAAAAGGCUCUCCACGCCUCCCAUUGAUCUCCGGCGACUCCUUCAAUCUUCUGAUGAAAUUCUCGUACGCCGGUGACACAAUUCCGUUAACGGAGCUUCUUAACUCCUCCCUCAAUUGCAAAUCAGUAACAACCCAUUGAGAUUGCACCUUACACACCUCAUCAAACUGGGAUUUGAACAAUCUAAGGUUCUCUACUAACUUGGGAUAUGGACCCUCGGUCCUUAGCAAUCCCACCACCUGGUUCCACGAGCUCCUUCGGUAACUAGAAUGGUACUGCUUCAGUUUCGCCGCGUGCUUCACAAUCCAAUCUUCUCCCAGGACAGAACCGAGCUCGUUAUCCGUCACCUUAUCAAGAAUAUACUUGCCAUUGUUCAUCAUGAACAAGAAGCACAAAGACGGGUCACGGUAAGUUCUUUUCUUGCCUUCCAAGUUACUCUCCAACAGCUCCAAAACCCAGGUGAGUUGCACUGACAAAGGACUCGUAUCUGGUCCUGCUUCGUCCCCAGUCUGGUCAAGGAUCUGCUCCAACGACUGCCGCGAUUUACAGGCCGCACGCAGAUAGUUCAUCACGUACCGUGUGAUGGGGUGAAUCCCACCGCCAGGAAACGCGGUUUUGGGAGGGUCACGACGGAUCAAAUUCUCAAGCUCCAUAAAGAUCCCUCUAAUCGCUUCCCCUAACCGUUUAUGAAUAGCGACCGCCUCAUGCCUUAGCGGCAAACAGUAUCUAUCAGAGAAUAGCGUUUCCAUCUUUGGAAUUAGGUCUUGCAUCGCUUCGUAUAAGUCCAUAACCUUAAACAAACGUUCAGGCAAACGGCUCCCUAAAGCAAUCGCGUCUGCGAAAUUCAGAAGCUGUGUGGUCGUCCCGCGGCAAACUUCCAUGAAAGAGAGAUCGGUUACAGAGGAAACAGGGAGAUCAGAGAAAACGCGAUCGCAGAGAAGACGCUCGCUAGGGAAGAAAACGCGGAAGACCAGAGUGACAGCUUUGAUCCAACGGUCGAUUUCGUCUUCAAGAUCUUGCCAUGGAGUCUCUUGCACUUCCUCCAUACUCAAUCCUCUGAGAUGCAACCUCGACAAACUCUCCUCUAGAAACUCUCUCCGUCGGCUGCUGUACACUCUUGAACACUCUUUUCCAAAUCCACCAGCGACCAUCCGCACAGCGAUCGCGUUUAGAUCGCCAAUAACGCUCGAUUCUAACGCCUCGAUCACGAUUUUGUAAUCUGUGACUGGACGGGCUAUAAUUACCUAGAGUAUUUCAGAUUAAAUCAAACUGUAGCCCGAAUUGUGUAUUCUAAUUCCAAAUUAUAUGCAAAUUGAAUUGAAUUUCAAAUUACUUAAUUACCCCGUAGUUUGUGUCGUUGUCUUCUUCGCCGGAGAAGUCAUCGUCCGAGUCAAACGUGUCAGGGGCUCGGUCCAUUACAUAUCCAAACUCUUCCUGAAGCCUAAACAUCACUUGUUGAAUCAAAUCAUCGGCACGGGAUUGACAGACGGCGACGGAUUGAUCUCCGGCCAUGGAUCUCAAGUCUCCGGCCAUCGCAAUUAACUCAUCAACAGAGUCGAGGAAGGUUCGCGAGUCAACGGGAUCGGACCAGAUGGGACGAUCUUCAACGAUGUAGCCAGAGAUCUGUCUCUCCAAGGAGUUAAGUGAUCGGUCAAAGUUAAGGUUUGCGCCGCCGCCACGGGAUGGGGUGGGUCGAGGGUCGCCGCCGCGGUUUCCGGAAGCGCCAUAGCCAGAGAGAAUCUGUAAGAUAUCUCCGGCGGCACUUGGAUCCUUGCCGAGGGCUCUAGCGAUGUCUCUGGCGGCGGCGUAAAGAUUCUCGUCACCAGCCUCAGCCAUAUAUGGUUUUUAUGGGAAUUAAUAAAAAUUUGAGGAAAUUAUGGAAUUGGGUGAAUAAAGACGAGAGACUCCCUCCAUAGACGAAGACUAUAACUAUAAUAUGGACAAGUCUUCGCAAGGAGAAAAAAUAAGAUUUUUAGACGCGGGAACCAUGUCUGACUUAGUUGUGUUUUCUGUUUGUAUUUUUAUGUAAUCUGUAGUUUCAUAUUGCCACGACGACGACUACGACUUUUCUCUUCGUUUCUAUUUUUGUUUUCUUUUUCUGGUUCUGUCUGGUUUGGUGUUUCCAGAACGUUAACGCUUCUUACCGACCGCGUUCUGCGUUCUGCGUUGGUUUGAUACGCCCAGAUAAAUGGUCUAAAUUAGAAUCGUGGAAAUUAGUUAUGGGCCAAAGACUUCGUCACCUUAUAAACUUUCAGCGUUGGGCCCAACGACAUAUCUUUAAAACUUUCGGAUCGAAAAGUUUGGUAAAUAAUAGUUGUAAAGGAAUGUAAAACAUAACAUUAUAUGUACUAAAAAAUUAUAAAUAUGUCUAAGAAUAGACAAAUUUAAAAUUCAAAACAUAAUAAAAUGUUAAUCGGAAAUAAUAGUUUACCUGUUUGACAGAAAAAAGAAAGAAAAAGAUUUUCAUAUUUUUAGGUUGAUUAUAGACUGACUAUCAAUUAAAACAAAAUAUUGCAUCGAUAUUUCAUAACUGAAAUCCUUAAGUAAUCAAUGAUUAGAGAAUCCUAGUACCUAAUUAGUCAAGUGGUUGCACCAAAUCAACGUUGUUGCUCCUCCGUGCUGACUUUACUAGUUCCACAUUCUGUUUUCAAAUUUAUGUUUGACGUCCACUAACUAACUAACUCACACAAAGCUCAGUUGCUUUCCCCCUUAGUCCCUGUGUGUGUAUAUAUAUAUAUCUUCAUCCCUUUCGUCUGGACUCAAAAACCAGAUAGCUUCAACACUACGAUAUGAAGUCUCAGUAUCCAACAAAUCUCGGGCGAAUCUACGCCUUAUCUAUCAUUUUCCUUCUUGUUUGUUGCACUUUUCUUGCUUCCCUCGCUUCCGCUGAACUUCACGUCCGUGAAUUCGUGGUAAGUUCAGCUUCCUUCACUUGACUAGUAUUUCUUUUAGAUGAAUUAAUCACAUUCACGUCCAUGGUUUGAAUCAACGUGACCUAGAUCGAGGCAAAACCAGUGAAGAGGCUGUGCAGAACUCACCAGACCAUCACCGUGAACGGUCAGUUCCCCGGUCCAACACUCGAGGUGAGAAAUGGUGAUUCGCUAGCCAUCACGGUCAUCAACAAGGCUCGCUACAACAUCAGUCUCCACUGGUAAAAAUAAACAAAUGAUUCAAUUUUUUGGUUGAUAACUUUUCAUCCAAGAAACAAACAUGUUGAUGUAUGCUCUGUUUUUGGGGACAGGCAUGGACUACGACAGCUGCGGAACCCGUGGGCUGAUGGACCAGAGUACAUAACUCAAUGUCCGAUCCAGCCGGGACAAAGCUACACAUACAGAAUCAAGAUCGAAGACCAAGAAGGUACACUUUGGUGGCACGCUCAUAGCCAUUGGCUUCGAGCCACAGUCUACGGAGCUCUCAUCAUUUACCCUCGUCUCGGUUCUCCUUACCCUUUCUCUAUGCCUAAACGUGAUAUCCCUAUUAUUCUCGGUAAUUUCAUCAAAACUUUACACUUUAUUUAUACACAAACAAGUUUAAAUUUAUGAAUAAGUAUAUUAAUCUGUAUUUCAAGAGAACAGGGGAAUGGUGGGAUAGAAACCCUAUGGAUGUUCUGAGGUUAGCCCAAUUCACAGGAGCAGCACCAAACGUCUCAGACGCUUACACCAUCAAUGGCCAACCCGGUGAUCUCUACCGCUGCUCUAAGCCAGAGACCCUCAGGUUUCCUAUUGUCCCUGGCGAGACGGUUCAGCUUCGUCUCAUCAACGCUGCCCUGAACCAAGAACUCUUCUUCACAGUUGCCAACCACCCGCUCACCGUGGUCGAGGUAGAUUCUGCUUACACAAAGCCUUUCACCACAAACGUUGUCAUGCUCGGUCCAGGUCAGACCACAAACGUCCUUAUAACCGCUAAUCAACGCCCUGGCCGCUAUUACAUCGCUGCACGGGCCUACAAUAGCGCAAACGCUGCUUUUGACAACACCACCACAACUGCUAUCAUAGAAUACGUUAACGCACCUAGUGGACAAGGCCAGAUCACACCCGUUUUCCCGGUUUUGCCAGGGUUCAAUGACACCGCCACUGCAACCGCUUUUGUCAACCGUUUGCGGUACUGGACGAGAGCUCCAGUGCCACUCGAGAUCGACGAAAAUCUAUUUUUCGCAGUUGGGUUAGGACUAAUAAACUGCGCCAACCCGAACAGUCCUCGGUGCCAGGGACCAAACGGAACGCGGUUUGCUGCAAGCAUGAACAACGUCUCAUUCGUCCUUCCUCGGACUAACUCUGUGAUGCAAGCCUAUUACCAAGGAAUCCCCGGGAUUAUAACAUCAGAUUUCCCGCCGGUUCCUCCUGUUCAAUUUGAUUACACAGGAAACGUAAGUCGUGGACUUUGGCAACCCGUAAAGGCCACAAAGGCCUACAAGCUUAAGUACAAGGCCAAUGUGCAGAUUGUGCUGCAGGACACAAGCAUUGUCACCCCUGAGAACCAUCCUAUGCAUCUACACGGGUACCAAUUCUAUGUUGUAGGGUCAGGUUUUGGGAAUUUUGACCCGAAGAGAGAUCCGGCUAGCUUCAAUCUGUUUGACCCACCGGAGAGGAAUACCAUCGGAACCCCUCCAGGUGGAUGGGUGGCCAUCCGAUUCGUUGCUGAUAAUCCAGGUGAAUUGAUCAUUGCUCUAAUCUUCUUGAUUAGACGCUCUAUAUAAAUUAGUCCAAUUGUUUUUUUUCCUGACAGUUGUUUGUAAUUUAAAUGUUGUAGGAGCAUGGUUUAUGCAUUGUCACAUUGACUCACAUCUAGGAUGGGGGCUGGCGAUGGUUUUCCUAGUUGAGAAUGGAAUAGGUCAGCUCCAGUCGGUGCAGCCUCCGCCAUUGGAUCUCCCAAGAUGCUAAAUAUGGUCGUUGGAUUUCUCAUUUGAUCAAACGUAUCUCAUGUUUGUCUCGUUUUUAGGUUAUGUGGGGUUUUCGUAACCACAAAGCUUCUUUCUGCGUGUGUAUAUACUGAGAGGAGUCAUAUGUUAAUAUCAUUUGGAACUAAAAUGUAUUUGCGUCCUCUCCUAAUGAACGUACUAGAGUGUUUUUUUAGUUUCCCAUGAACUCUCCAUUACACGUUCAUAUCUCAAACCAAAACAAUUUACAGUAUUAGCAUUUAUCGCUACCAUAAAAUUUGAAAUAUAUUUAUUAUGGCUACCAAUAUAUUAAAUACUUCUAGAUGCUCCAAUAUUAAUAUUUCAUCUUACAAUUUUUUUUUUUUUUGCAGAGGUUCUUAUUAUUUUUGGUUAAAAUUAACUAAAAUUAUUCUUGGGACCUUUUCUUAUAAAAACAAGACCGUCCUUUUUCCUAUUUUUUUCGCUUUUGUGGUUUCCCAUUUAUUUAUUUAUUUUAUUUAAAGGAAAAAAAUCUCAGCCAGUAGAUAUGAUAAAAAGGAUUUGAUUACUGAGCAUGCAUUUGGAGACAAGUCACAAAAUUGAGACCAGAGGAACACAAAUGUUAAGUGAUUUCAUCAAAGGUCUGGUGGAUCGUUGCUUCUCCACCUCCAAUGGCUUCCCUUUACCUCAAUUCCUUACUCCCGCUUCUUUCUUCUCAUCCCCAGAAACUUAUAGAACCUUCUUCUUGUUCUUCCUCGUCUUUGUUGAGCACUUCCAAUCGUAACGAAGUUGCUCCUCUCAAGCCGAUUGUCAUCAAUGGAGAUCCACCCACUUUCGUCUCUGCUCCUGCUCGCCGUAUCAUUGCAGGUUCGCUACCAAAUUAUUCUGAAAAGUUUACAUCUUUUUUGUUUAAAACGACAACAAAACUAAGUUGUGGCUAUGCUCUCACAGUUGGGGACCUUCACGGCGAUCUGAGUAAAGCCAGAGACGCACUUCAGUUGGGCGGCGUCUUGAGCUCCGAUGGACGAGACCAGUGGAUCGGCCAAGACACUGUAUGUCUUCACUUUUCUGACCCUAGUGGAACAGCAGAGUUUCAGUUUCUGUUACAUUAGUUGAAAGUUUGGUUUUUAGUUGUCAAGAUAAGAAUAUGCUAAGAAUUAAGAUGAUAUACUAUGAUCGAUUUUGAUUUCCCGUUAGCAGUUUAUAAUGAGAUAUCUCUUAUACUGCCUCCUAUUUUAUGAGUUCCUCCAAAAUUACAGGUGCUAGUUCAGGUAGGAGAUAUAUUGGAUCGUGGUGAUGAUGAAAUUGCAAUACUUUCUUUAUUAAGGUCACUUGAUGUUCAGGCCAAGGCUAAUGGUGGAGCUGUUUUCCAGGUUUUGAAUGCUAUCUUACUUGAAUUUGAUUAGUAUGUGUUACCAAAAACACACAGCAACUUGUGCACUUUGCACAUUUUAAUUUACUGAGGAGCAAUUCAUUUCUCCAAUUUUAAAGGUUAAUGGGAACCAUGAGACGAUGAAUGUUGAAGGGGAUUUCAGAUACGUGGAUGCGAGAGCAUUUGAUGAGUGUACAGAUUUUCUUGACUACUUGGAGGACUAUGCACAAGACUGGGACAAAGCGUUUACUAAUUGGAUUUUUGAGUCAAGACAGUGGAAAGAAGAUAGGAGAAGUUCUCAAACCUAUUGGGAUCAGUGGAAUGUAGUAAAGGUAUUACAUGGCAUCAUUUUGCUGUGUCCUUACUGAGUUUUCUACAUUUUCUCUACUUGUCUGUUAACCAAAAGCCUUGGGAAACUAUUAGGACAGAGGCAAAAGGGAGUGAUUGCAAGGUCGGUCCUUUUCAGACCAGGGGGUCGAUUAGCAUGUGAACUGGCGCGUCACGGAGUUGUUUUGCGCAUUAAUAACUGGGUCUUCUGCCACGGUGGUCUCCUUCCUCACCAUGGUAAGAAUAAGCAGUCUAUCUCAAUCGUCUCAGUGCUGAGGGAUGUGUUCUUUUAAAUUUCAUCAUGCUUAUGAUGUUCUUGCGCAGUUGCAUAUGGCGUAGAGAGGAUAAAUAGAGAAGUCUCUACGUGGAUGAGAAGUGCUACUAACUAUGAAGACAGUCCUCAGAUGCCUUUCAUAGCGACUCGUGGAUAUGACAGUGUGGUCUGGAGCCGACUCUAUUCAAGAGAGACUUCUGAGCUGGCAGACUAUCAAAUUGAGCAGGCAAGUUGAAUUGAAUAACCAAAAAUCUCAAAACUGAUAACGCAACAGGUAUCAUCAUCAGCUUGGACUACUGUGAUUCCUGAUUGUUUUUUUAUCAGGUAAGUAAAAUCCUCCGGGACACUCUUGACGCUGUUGGUGCCAAGGCAAUGGUGGUCGGGCAUACUCCCCAGUUAUCGGGUGUUAACUGGUACAUUUAUUGAACUCCAUUCCAAAAACUUGUAAGAAAUCUUAAUCACAAGAUCCAUACAGUUCUAUAAUGGAAUACGGUUAUCUCUUGUUAGUGAAUAUGGUUGCGGCAUAUGGAGAGUUGAUGUAGGAAUGUCCAGUGGUGUUCUUGACUCUAGACCAGAGGUUCUUAACAAUCUCAGUGGUUCUUGACUCGUCGCCUUUAUGUCUCUGUUACACGUGGAGAUGAUGACUGACUCUGUUGUUGUUUCUUCAGGUUCUAGAGAUAAUAGGGGACAAAGCUAGAGUCAUACGGAGCAACAGGGACACACUUCAUGAACUUCAAAUUGCAGAUUACAUUUAAAAAGCUUUGAAAGACGAGAACCAGACCCCCAUGUUCAAGAUUCAAACUUUAUAAGCCAUAUAUUUCAUGAUGAACAUAAAAACAGGGCAGCAGAAGCUAAAGAAAAGACCUAGCAUAUGCAGUUGGAUGAGGCCAGACUUUUGAACUCUAUGUAUGUACGUAUGUAUAUAUAUAUAUAUCUGUAUGGAUGAGUCAUCAUAAACAUACUAUAAUCAUCAAGUAAAAGGGUUUGUAUAGCAAAAAAAUACACUGGUUAGUAUCACUUUUAGAAAUACUCUUGUUACCAAACCAUAUGUGGGAUUCUGUGAUGACAAGUAGCUAAAAAUUAAUCAAAUGUCUUUACCGAUUCUGCUGUACCAACACUCGAGAAAACGAACAUUGAGAAAGAUCUUGAACGGAGAACAAAGUAUUGAGUUUGAUAUAAAUCAGGAGAGUUGAGUUAUUGAGAAGUGGAUCUCAAUCUUCGAAGCUGAUCAAUCCAACGAUCCUCAUUAACAUCGGAAGCCCAAUCAGGAGCCAUUCCAGGGAACGAGAUUGCGCGCAUUGCCUCCAUAACCCUAACGGUAUUCUCCUCCAUUAACGGUGAUCUUCUACGCCGUUCGUCCUCUUCAAACGCUCUACGGAUCUCCGAUUCCGUCUCCAUCUCCGCCUCUUCUUCGCUCUCUGCGUCUCCGUUUAUGCUAAUAGAAGAGAUCCCUUCCUCUGUUUCCGGAAUCAUACAAUGGCCGUUGGAGAUGCCGUGGCUGAAGCCAUCUCCGCCGAUCGGAUUAUAACUGUCUUCCACAUCGCUCCCGUCGUCAUUGGCGGUGUCUAGAUCGACGGCUGAGAUCGGCUCGUAAUAGUCUUGUGGAUCGUCGACGGAGUUAGAGUCAGAAUCGCUCCCGGCGUUGUUGUUCUCUGCAAAUAACGCAUCCAGCUAACUAAUUAAGCAAAGCAGACCCCAAUUCCAAAAAUCCAGAGAUAAUUUUGACAACAGAGAGAGAGUAAAACGAAUCUGAUAUCCGAAUCCUCAAACGAAGUAAACAGAAUAAGGAGCAGAGAGAAGAACCUUCCAUAGGAUCACUUGAAGCGAGGUAGAGAGUAGCUUCUUUUGUCGGAGGUGAAAAAGAGAGAAGCCACGACUGAGUUGAGUUGACUCGGAUCUAAAAAAAAGUACAGUGCUCAUCAAAUUCAUAAAUACAAAAAUGGUCCUUAAAAGCCCAUAUUGUAUAUAGAAGGCCUACCCUUUGCGGCCCAAAUAUGAAUCUUGUUUUUUUUGGUAAUCUUAUUAUAUAGACCUUGGUUUUCAAAGUCAGCUAUUAACAAGAUCGUGACACGUGUUAAUUAUAAUUGAUAAGAUAUUGACGCAUGUCGUAACUAAUUUUGUUAAUAUUUGGAUAAUAUAGAAAUAUUAUUAACCCUAUCGAAAAAGAAAAUAUAUAAAAUAAAUAUUAUUAAUAAAAUAUACAAAUAACCUAAUUUCAGUUAUGUCAAUUUGGUUUAUCAAUAAGAUAGGGAUUUAAAUUUUAUAAUUAACAAGAAUAUAUGACGUUUUUUGUUUACAGAAGAGAAUUAAGGUUUAAACUUUAAUUUUACGAUUAAAUCAGGUUAUUUGUUGGUUUGGGUAUAUAAAUGAUAAAUAAGAAUUAUGGUUUAUCUUUAUAAAUUAAAAUUAUGGUUGAAGUUUAACAAUUAAACGAGAUUAUAUGUCGAAACUUGGUUAUUAAAUUUACUAACUCACGUGAUCAUGAUAAGUGUCAAGUAAAAUCAUAAGAUGUUGCAAUAUGGUAUAUCUACUUUUUAAUAUUAAUAUACAAAUAGAUUUUUUAAACAACAUUAAAAAUUUAAAAUAAUUAUAAAAAAUUAAAGAGAAUUUUUGAGAAAUACCCCUUUUGGUGUAUCACUUUUCAAAAAUACCUCAUUUAUCUAUCCAUUUUCAAAAAUAUCCAUGUUUAAAUAUGAAAAAUUUUAAAGUUUUAUAUGGUUUAUAAGGCACUUCUAUAUAAUAACUAUUACUUGGAAAUUUGAUACAAAUAUUUUAUAAUGUUUUAAAAGGUUUUAAAUCGUUUUUACAAGUUUAAUAAGGUUUUUAAGUGGUUUUUAAAGGGUUUAUAAGGUUUUUAAAAGGUAUUUAUAAGUUAUUUUACGCUAUUUAUGAAAGAUAUAUAAAAAUUUAAACAUAUAUAAAGGUAAUUUGUGUGUAUAUUUAUAAGUUUACACACAUAUUUGGAUAAAUUUCAAUAUUUAUAGUGUUUUUUUUUAUAAAGUUUGAAAUAGGGGUAUUUUUAAAAAAUGGUAUGGAAAAAGGGUAUUUUUGAUAAAUUAAAAAGUAAAAAAAUUGAUAUUUAUAUUAAAAAAAUGUGUAAGCUUAUAUAUUUAGACACAAAUUAUCUUUCUAUUUGUGUAAAUUUUAAAUACCAUAUAAAUACCUUUUAAAAA
Molecule: long non-coding RNA, 20345 nt
Filed under: Capsella rubella
Lineage: Eukaryota; Viridiplantae; Streptophyta; Magnoliopsida; Brassicales; Brassicaceae
Description: long non-coding RNA (CRUB_LNC004588)
Source: RNAcentral